CCUACGGGGGGCAGCAGUGGGGAAUAUUGGACAAUGGGCGCAAGCCUGAUCCAGCAAUGCCGCGUGUGUGAAGAAGGCCUGCGGGUUGUAAAGCACUUUCAGUGGGGAGGAAAAGCUCAAGAUUAAUACUCUUGAGUCUUGACGUUAUCCACAGAAGAAGCACCGGCUAACUCUGUGCCAGCAGCCGCGGUAAUACAGAGGGUGCAAGCGUUAAUCGGAAUUACUGGGCGUAAAGCGCGCGUAGGCGGUUUGUUAAGUCGGAUGUGAAAGCCCCGGGAUCAACCUGGGAACUGCAUUCGAUACUGGCAGGCUAGAGUAUGGUAGAGGGAAGUGGAAUUCCGGGUGUAGCGGUGAAAUGCGUAGAUAUCCGGAGGAACAUCAGUGGCGAAGGCGGCUUCCUGGACCAAUACUGACGCUGAGGCACGAAAGCGUGGGGAGCGAACAGGAUUAGAUACCCGGGUAGUC
RNAcentral lists this ribosomal RNA (465 nucleotides) under uncultured bacterium. RNAcentral describes it as "bacterial SSU rRNA". It matches the Rfam family "Bacterial small subunit ribosomal RNA", at positions 338 to 795 of the family's 1533-position model. The record is from RNAcentral.